Long non-coding RNA from Triticum aestivum (bread wheat), 1687 nucleotides. RefSeq lists it as uncharacterized. The record is from RefSeq and is a predicted model, not a curated record. The transcript is spliced from 2 exons. NCBI's taxonomy places the organism in Eukaryota, Viridiplantae, Streptophyta, Magnoliopsida, Poales, Poaceae.
ACACACAUAGAAAAAAAAGAGCCCACCCACGACACCCCACGACCACGUCCUGCUCGUCCUCCCACCUUCCCCGAUCCCCAACCACCCUGGAUCCCAUCGUCGGCGACCUCCGCCGCCGCACGCCUGGCUUCUACUCCUUCCACUCCUUGCCCGUGUCCAGCGCCCGCCGCCGGCCCUCCCAUGGCGCCACUACCGCGGCCACCCUCUUCUCCUCCCGCCCCAUCGCGUGACGCCGCCCUGGCCACUCCUCGUCGUCUCAACGAGUAGCCAUCGUUCCCCAGGACGGUUCCGACAUCCGGCGCCAUCGCCGUCCGUGGAUCCCGGCGCCAUCGCCGGCCGUGGAUCCUCGCCGCCGCCGCAAGCUCUGAUCCCGCCGGCCGCCGCCGGGAUCCCCGACUGAAGAUGAGCAACCCCGCUGCCCCCCUCACGGAGCCUCCUCCCUGUGGGGACCCACCGCCGCGGCGCUCAAACCAUUCGUAACCGCCACCUCCGGCCGUUCAACCACGGAACUCUCAGAAGUUCACCGCUUCAGUCGCACGCCCUUGCUGAUUUCCCCUCUAUCUCUUGUUGCUACAGGUAGCAGCAGGUGCAUCUCUAUCAACACAACUCUGUUCUUAUUGAAGUUCAGUUUGUUAAUUUUCUGAAGAAAAAGGUUGCUUCACUUGCACUCCUCUAUCUAGUCCUGUGUGGUGCUCUCCUCGACUCCUAGGUUAGGCACAAACUGAGAAUUGUAGGCAUCUUUUGAGUUUAAAAUGCUUGAAUCUACAGUACAGGAUUAGAUAACUUCCAGAAGAUCUGUAGUUCAUACCCCGCUGUGACAGCAGCGAGCGGUCGUAGGUCGCCUGGCCUGCUCUUGGCUUGUUCUGUUGAGAAAAGUUCAGAAAACUAACCGAACUCUUGGCAUUGUCUGGCGGUGUUUGGCUGCAUCGGCCACCAGACUGCCAACGGCAAGGAUCCAAGGUGGUGAGCUGUCGACGCUGGCACAACAACCCGACGCAAGCCGAGUCAAUUGUAGUCAACGCAAGGAGAGAUUAGUAUAGUGGUUUGUAGUGUUCAAAUCCAUACAUGGCGUUUUCUGGUGGAAUUGGUCAACAUGAAGGAGCUACGGGUUAAUACUACAAGCGCUUCACUUAAAUAGUCCUAGUUGUUUACCAACUUUUAGUCAUUCGCUUUUGCAAGAAGUGCUCAUCUUUUUCCUAUUGCAUGACUAGCUUUCGAUGGUGAUGGCUCUGAUUUUUUUGGGAGAUGUAUGAGAACAAAGGCCGGCUUCGCCAGAUUCUUCAGUUCAGCUCUAAAAAAAGGAGCAUUAUAUGUUGUUGUCCAGUUUGCUCACUUGUUGGAAUGAAAAAAAUGGCUAAAGGUCAAUAGAAAUUGUUCCUGAAGGUCAAUAGAAAGUGUUCGAGAAGGUCUAUAGUUGUAGGCGUCUCCUAGGUUCAUCCCACUAAAUCAUUCCAUGCUUGCUCCUUAUAUCUCCUGGAUGAAGAAGUACAACUACAGUACGGGAUUCAAAUCAGCACCGGGCGUCAAAAGAACAAUGGAGAUGUUGUGGUGGCGUUUGUGGAUGCGAUGGUUAUGUGUGUGUGUGUUCUUUGUGUGUGUCUUCAUGGAAAUGGGUUAAAAAAAUUCAUGUUUUGUGUAUAAAAAGGAGGAGGUUCAAAAAUAAGAAAGGUAAGAGUUCAAAAAUAUG